CAAGUCGAACGGCAGCGCGGGGCAACCUGGCGGCGAGUGGCGAACGGGUGAGUAAUAUAUCGGAACGUACCCAAGAGUGGGGGAUAACGUAGCGAAAGUUACGCUAAUACCGCAUACGAUCUAAGGAUGAAAGUGGGGGAUCGCAAGACCCCAUGCUCCUGGAGCGGCCGAUAUCUGAUUAGCUAGUUGGUGAGGUAAAGGCUCACCAAGGCGACGAUCAGUAGCUGGUCUGAGAGGACGACCAGCCACACUGGAACUGAGACACGGUCCAGACUCCUACGGGAGGCAGCAGUGGGGAAUUUUGGACAAUGGGCGCAAGCCUGAUCCAGCAAUGCCGCGUGAGUGAAGAAGGCCUUCGGGUUGUAAAGCUCUUUUGUCAGGGAAGAAACGGUAGAGGCUAAUAUCCUUUGCUAAUGACGGUACCUGAAGAAUAAGCACCGGCUAACUACGUGCCAGCAGCCGCGGUAAUACGUAGGGUGCAAGCGUUAAUCGGAAUUACUGGGCGUAAAGCGUGCGCAGGCGGUUUUGUAAGUCUGUCGUGAAAGCCCCGGGCUCAACCUGGGAAUUGCGAUGGAGACUGCAAGGCUUGAAUCUGGCAGAGGGGGGUAGAAUUCCACGUGUAGCAGUGAAAUGCGUAGAGAUGUGGAGGAACACCGAUGGCGAAGGCAGCCCCCUGGGUCAAGAUUGACGCUCAUGCACGAAAGCGUGGGGAGCAACAGGAUUAGAUACCCUGGUAGUCCACGCCCUAAACGAUGUCUACUAGUUGUCGGGUUUUAAUUAACUUGGUAACGCAGCUAACGCGUGAAGUAGACCGCCUGGGGAGUACGGUCGCAAGAUUAAAACUCAAAGGAAUUGACGGG
This 860-nucleotide ribosomal RNA is filed under the name uncultured bacterium. RNAcentral describes it as "bacterial SSU rRNA". It matches the Rfam family "Bacterial small subunit ribosomal RNA", at positions 58 to 917 of the family's 1533-position model. The record is from RNAcentral.